GUAUUACCGAAGAGUCCCAAACUAGGACGAAAUAGCUGUCCAGUAC
This 46-nucleotide non-coding RNA is filed under the name Trichobilharzia regenti. Lineage: Eukaryota; Metazoa; Platyhelminthes; Trematoda; Strigeidida; Schistosomatidae. The record is from RNAcentral.